UUCAUAAUGAUGUUCAAAGUAACUUGGAUGAAAGUGUCCCAAAAUGCUUUAGGGUUGAUUACGGACGUCCUUCCACCAGAGGUGUUCUUCGGUUCUUGGAUGAGGCUGAACUUAUACGAGCACACUUGUAUGUGUUAGCUAAUAUUGGAAUUUUAGAGCACUACGAGAGGGGUUUUGAGGAGUACAUUCUACAUACUUGACCCACAAUGCGUAAAUAUGAUGUGUGGGUUCAUCAUGAAGUUGAGUUCCUCGAAUGGUUUAGGAUGAAAGUGAUUCAAGAUAAGCCGGAUGAUGACGUAUUGUUUGCUUUAGCAAUGGGUCCAUCAAAACGAGUGCGCACUUGGAACCAGUACUAUGUUAACGGAUACAAAUUCCAGACUCAUGCACAUGGAAUGCAUAAAUCAACCCAGAAUUAUGAUGUUUGGGUGUCAAAUGAGGAAGGUGGAGAUUUUUUUUUGUAUCUUACAGGAUGUCAUUGAGCUUGAGUUCACUAGUGUGACCACAGUUUAUAAAAGUGUUUUGUCCAAGUGCAAUUGGAUGGACCCGACAAGGGGCAUGAAUGUUGAUCAUUACAAACUAUUAGAAGUCAAUCACACAAAGAAAUACCCCAAGUACGAUCCUUUUGUGCUAUCAUACUAGGCAAAGCAGGUGUACUUUGCGCCGUACCCUAGUUUGAAAAAAGAUCGUGCUCAAUGGUGCGCUGUGCUUAAGACUAAGGCAAGGUCUACUGUUGAUGCUCCAGUAGAUGACGAGGUUUUACAAGAAACACAUGUUGAGGCACCAACCUUGAGUGCUCCGGAUGAUAUUCCUGGGUACGAGGACGGCGAUGAUUCUGAUGAAGAAGAUAUCCCAUACAUUGAACCCCCUUUGGAGGAGUCAAACUUUGAGGACUCAACCGAUAGUAAUGAUGCUGAAGACGCUAUUUUUUGGGAUGAUGAUACUGAUGAGGACGAUUAUAGUGAUGAAGGGGAUGCAUGAGAACCUCUAGAGUUUGUGUAAUCGGAUAGUUUUAUAUGUAAUAAUUUUCUACGGUUUUCUAUCCUAAUUUUUCUGUUUUAUUUAUCAGAAUUGAAUCUCCUGCUUUUUGCUUCAUGACAUUAUUGCUAACAUGAUAUCAAUUUCGAUUUUAGGCAAGAAUUAGAUGGUAUAUAUUCUUAUUCUAGGGUUCAUGUAGUAUCAAUUUUUGCGUUUUUGGUUUGAAUUUUUUACUUGCGUGUUCAAUUGCAAUUUUAUUUUUCUCUUUUGUUGAUUUCUGCUGCAUUUGAUAGUUUAUAUUGCUAUAAUUGCUGGUUAUUUUGUGUUUUCCCACCUAAAUUGCUGCUGUUGCCAUUGCUUCUUGAAGGGGUUGUUGGAGUUUCUGAUUUUUUACUAAAGGGUCCAAGACGUCAGCUUUGUUAUAUGCCCAAUGAAUUUUAGAACUAGAAUUCACUAGGGGGUUUAAAAAUUUGGGAAAUAAAUCUGAAAUUUUGGCUAAUUUUAGUAAAAAUUUGGGGGUUGGAUCCCCAAAUGUAAAUUUCUAAUGCUGAGGAUCACCAAUAUAAAUUUCUGAUGCU
Molecule: long non-coding RNA, 1553 nt
Organism: Chenopodium quinoa (quinoa)
Lineage: Eukaryota; Viridiplantae; Streptophyta; Magnoliopsida; Caryophyllales; Amaranthaceae
Exons: 3
Source: RefSeq, a predicted model, not a curated record